UACGAAGGGGGCUAGCGUUGUUCGGAUUUACUGGGCGUAAAGCGCACGUAGGCGGUUUGUUAAGUGAGAGGUGAAAAUCCCAGAGCUCAACUCUGGAACUGCCUUUCAUACUGGCAAGCUAGAGUCCGGAAGAGGUAAGUGGAACUCCUAGUGUAGAGGUGGAAUUCGUAGAUAUUAGGAAGAACACCAGUGGCGAAGGCGGCUUACUGGUCCGGAACUGACGCUGAGGUGCGAAAGCUGGGGAGCAACAG
RNAcentral lists this ribosomal RNA (251 nucleotides) under uncultured bacterium. RNAcentral describes it as "partial 16S ribosomal RNA". It matches the Rfam family "Bacterial small subunit ribosomal RNA", at positions 524 to 775 of the family's 1533-position model. The record is from RNAcentral.